Molecule: long non-coding RNA, 500 nt
Organism: Cygnus olor (mute swan)
Lineage: Eukaryota; Metazoa; Chordata; Aves; Anseriformes; Anatidae
Exons: 3
Source: RefSeq, a predicted model, not a curated record
UAGUUGGGCAAUUGCUAUGAGGGUACCCUCUAGUUUCCUCAGAAACCUUGCCAGGUUCCUGUCUUUGCUCAGUCCAUGCCAUGUGGUAAGGAAGCGCUUUUGGGGAGGACACAGGAUAUAGAAUCCUGUGGCUGCGAUCUGGAAAGGUGAGGUGAGCUGUUCAAGGUAAACCCAGGUGGGCUUCAAGACUCAACACCAGUAUCUCCAUGUUUCCACCCUACUGGAGCGUAAUGGCAGAUGAGGUGCUGGGCCUCUACGCGCAGCUCGCAGAAAACGGGCUGGUUUGGGCAGUCUGUAUGGCUCAGCUCCAAGUACAAACUUCAAGAACAGACGUCACCACUGGUGAAAAUGAAGAGGAGUGAAGGAGGACUACACUGGAGGCAUUGAGAAGGCCGAAGGAUGCUGGUUCAGGUAUUCAUCCAGAAAGCUGUUGACAAUCCCAGCUGCACCCAGGGUUACCAAGCAAGUCAGAACUAUCAAAUUCAAAUAAAAACCUGUUA